This 376-nucleotide ribosomal RNA is filed under the name uncultured bacterium. RNAcentral describes it as "bacterial SSU rRNA". It matches the Rfam family "Bacterial small subunit ribosomal RNA", at positions 523 to 898 of the family's 1533-position model. The record is from RNAcentral.
AUACGGAGGGUGCAAGCGUUAAUCGGAAUUACUGGGCGUAAAGCGCACGCAGGCGGUCUGUCAAGUCAGAUGUGAAAUCCCCGGGCUUAACCUGGGAACUGCAUUUGAAACUGGCAGGCUAGAGUCUUGUAGAGGGGGGUAGAAUUCCAGGUGUAGCGGUGAAAUGCGUAGAGAUCUGGAGGAAUACCGGUGGCGAAGGCGGCCCCCUGGACAAAGACUGACGCUCAGGUGCGAAAGCGUGGGGAGCAAACAGGAUUAGAUACCCUGGUAGUCCACGCUGUAAACGAUGUCGACUUGGAGGUUGUGCCCUUGAGGCGUGGCUUCCGGAGCUAACGCGUUAAGUCGACCGCCUGGGGAGUACGGCCGCAAGGUUAAA